This 232-nucleotide ribosomal RNA is filed under the name uncultured bacterium. RNAcentral describes it as "partial 16S ribosomal RNA". It matches the Rfam family "Bacterial small subunit ribosomal RNA", at positions 118 to 351 of the family's 1533-position model. The record is from RNAcentral.
UGGGCAAUCUGCCCUUCACUCUGGGACAAGCCCUGGAAACGGGGUCUAAUACCGGAUAACACUCUGUCCCUCAUGGGACGGGGCUAAAAGCUCCGGCGGUGAAGGAUGAGCCCGCGGCCUAUCAGCUUGUUGGUGGGGUAACGGCUCACCAAGGCUUCGACGGGUAGCCGGCCUGAGAGGGCGACCGGCCACACUGGGACUGAGACACGGCCCAGACUCCUACGGGAGGCAG